AGAUCAACUACUGUUAAGGUGGAGCAGCAGUUUGAAAAAGCAUCUUGCUGAAGCUCGACAGCAUCUGUCUCCGUUGUGAAUAAGCACUGACUCUGCAACUCUCUGGUUUUUGUAGUCCACAGAAGAGAGGAAGUCAAUACGGGUUGAUUCAGACAGUGCUGAAGCUCCACCUGAAUAACAAGGUCGUUCUUCCACGAGCUCCAGAAUGGAAGCGGUACUUUCCAGGCCCAGGGCGAUGUUCUGCUGUCUGGAGAUGUAAAUGCCAGGACCGGUUCUGAGUGUGACAGUGCUGGAUCACUCGGGAAUAAACUCUCAGUCAAAACCGCUCCGUACCUGCUCUCCGGACUGAAACGGAGAAACAUCAGAAGCAGUGUUGGUACAUGAAGCGAUUGAGCAUGGCAUUGUGUCUCCAGAGCUGCGCAAGAGCAACAUCUGAGCAAUAAGACUUUCCUCUGGGCUGUGCUCUACAGGCUCCAGAAAACACUGAUGAGAUGCAGGAGAGAGUGUGUGGGAUCAUUAGAGGAGCAGUUCAGCCAGAAAUGAAUGUUCUGUCAUCACAGUCACUUUCGUCGGAGGGAAAAGAGCACCUGGGAUGUUCUGUUGAGUAUCUCAGAUUUAGACGACAUGAGGGUGAGUAAAUGAUGAUGGGGUUGUCAUUUUGGGGUGAACUGUCUCCUUGAGAGAAGAUUUGAGAUACUAAAAUAUACAAAAAUAAGAACGUUUUACUUUGAGUUAUGUUU
Long non-coding RNA from Cyprinus carpio (common carp), 740 nucleotides. RefSeq lists it as uncharacterized. The transcript is spliced from 5 exons. The record is from RefSeq and is a predicted model, not a curated record. NCBI's taxonomy places the organism in Eukaryota, Metazoa, Chordata, Actinopteri, Cypriniformes, Cyprinidae.